Long non-coding RNA from Prinia subflava (tawny-flanked prinia), 485 nucleotides. RefSeq lists it as uncharacterized. NCBI's taxonomy places the organism in Eukaryota, Metazoa, Chordata, Aves, Passeriformes, Cisticolidae. The transcript is spliced from 3 exons. The record is from RefSeq and is a predicted model, not a curated record.
CACCGCGAGGAGGGGCAGCAGGAGAGGGUCGGUGUUCCACGGCGAGCCCGCUGAGGCCGCAGCUCCGCUGGGCGCGACCGCAUCGCAUUGCCCGGCAGCCCGCAGGUGACGGGGAGGGGAAGCUCGCCCCAAAUCUAUCCCGGGAUCCCCGGAAUUCCCAUUGCCAGACUUUGGCUGGAUGGAGGAAGAGAAGGCUGUGAGGACGAGGAAGUUGUCCCGGGAACCCCAGGCAGGCGUCUUCCAGAGCCAAAUGGUGACUGAGUGGGACAAAAAAUGAAGAUUUUGGAGACAAUGGAGUGGAAACUCCUCUAAGAAGGGUUCUUUCCAGCCACCCAAGCACAUGGAUACUCAGCCAGCAUGGACACAUAAAUCCUUUUAUUGUGGCCUUGAUUUUCUUUCGUUGUUCAUUGUUCAUUGUUCAUUGUUCGUUGUUCAUUGUUCUUCAUCCUUUCACCCAACACUGGGGUAAAAAUAAAAACCUUGAU